GCCAGCACAGCGUACCCCAUUUUCCAUGAAGUUGCUCUCAUCUGUGAACAGGACAAAAUCAGCAUCAGGCAGCGGGGUUUUUUGCAGAUCCAGACAACUUGAGAACAACUGGUCGGUGACGCUGAGGUUCGCCAUUUCAGUCCUUAUUAAGGGAUCCAUCUCCUCUGCUAGGAGCCUGCUGACCACACCUACCUUACCAAGUUCUCUACCCCAGAGGCAGCAUCUGGAGUGUGCUUUACUGUGCAGGUUCCAGGGCCCCAUCGCCUCAGAAUGGAAAAUCCCGCAGCAAGAGUGGUGAGGCAGCCUCAAGACCAGGUGUUCAGCAAACUUUCUGUGAUCGCUGCCU
Molecule: long non-coding RNA, 346 nt
Organism: Fukomys damarensis (Damara mole-rat)
Lineage: Eukaryota; Metazoa; Chordata; Mammalia; Rodentia; Bathyergidae
Exons: 3
Source: RefSeq, a predicted model, not a curated record